AACUUGUCCUUUGGACCGGGAUAACCCCUGGGAAACUGGGGCUAAUACCGGAUAGAGCAUUGAUAGCUGGAAUGCACGAUGCUCGAAAGCUGAGGCGCCAAAGGGUAGGUCUGCGGCCGAUUAGGUUGUUGUUGAUGUAAUGGAUCAACAAGCCUCCGAUCGGUAUGGGUUGUGAGAGCAAUAUCCCAGAGAUGGGUUCUGAGAGAAGAACCCAGGUCCUACGGGACGCAUCAGGCGCGAAAACUUUACAAUGUGCGAAAGCACGAUAAGGGAACUCUGAGUGCCUCCAAAGGAGGCUGUUCAGGUGUCUAAAAAGCAUCUGAAGUAAGGGCUGGGCAAGACCGGUGCCAGCCGCCGCGGUAACACCGGCAGCCCAAGUGGUGGCCACUUUUACUGGGUCUAAAGCGUUCGUAGCCGGCCAUGUAAGUUCCUUGGGAAAUUUGACCGCUUAACGGUUAAGCUUCCAGGGAAUACUGCUUGGCUUGGGACCGGGAGAGGUCAGAGGUACCUCAAGGGUAGGGGUGAAAUCCGUUAAUCCUUGGGGGACCG
Molecule: ribosomal RNA, 549 nt
Filed under: uncultured archaeon
Lineage: Archaea
Description: bacterial SSU rRNA
Rfam family: Archaeal small subunit ribosomal RNA
Source: RNAcentral